GGGGACGAGUGGGUUCGACAGGGAAUUGAUCUUUAGGUUGCAGGUCGUGUUGNCAUACCACGUAUGAAAUGGCAAAAUAAUGAUUGGCGAUCAAGAAUACGCUCUCGCUGCUUAAUAUAAGUUAGUGACGUUCCUUAAUAUCUUUGCUUAGGGUGGUAUUAAGGAGCGACGUUAAACCUAAGCUGAGCAAGAUUAUUGCUAGUAUAGUCUUGCAAAUAAGUUUCUAGCUAAGCAAUUAUAGUUGGUUUGUCGAUGACGCCUUUAUUGACGAAAAUCAUUUAUCGACUAAGCCUGUAGAUGCUUAGAGAGUAAAUUUCUUGGACGGGGGGUUCAACUCCUCCCCGUCUCCACCA
This 353-nucleotide transfer-messenger RNA is filed under the name Dehalococcoidia. RNAcentral describes it as "GCA-2718455 sp002718455 Standard tmRNA". It matches the Rfam family "transfer-messenger RNA". From Rfam's summary of the family: Bacterial tmRNA, also known as 10Sa RNA or SsrA, is named for its dual tRNA and mRNA-like properties. Its role is to liberate the mRNA from a stalled ribosome. The record is from RNAcentral. Lineage: Bacteria; Bacillati; Chloroflexota. RNAcentral also lists the same sequence under 1 other name.